This 292-nucleotide ribosomal RNA is filed under the name uncultured bacterium. RNAcentral describes it as "partial 16S ribosomal RNA". It matches the Rfam family "Bacterial small subunit ribosomal RNA", at positions 505 to 796 of the family's 1533-position model. The record is from RNAcentral.
GUGUCAGCCGCCGCGGUAAUACGUAGGGGGCAAGCGUUGUCCGGAAUUACUGGGCGUAAAGCGCGUGUAGGCGGGACGGUUAGUCGGACGUGAAAGGCGCGGGCUCAACCCGCGAAGGCCGUUCGAAACUGCCGUUCUUGAGGGUCGAAGAGGAGAGUGGAAUUCCUGGUGUAGCGGUGAAAUGCGUAGAGAUCAGGAGGAACACCCAUGGCGAAGGCAGCUCUCUGGUCGACAUCUGACGCUGAGACGCGAAAGCGUGGGGAGCGAACGGGAUUAGAAACCCCGGUAGUCC